RNAcentral lists this ribosomal RNA (329 nucleotides) under uncultured eukaryote. Its description in RNAcentral is "partial 18S ribosomal RNA". It matches the Rfam family "Eukaryotic small subunit ribosomal RNA", at positions 1470 to 1796 of the family's 1831-position model. The record is from RNAcentral.
CCCUUAGAUGUUCUGGGCCGCACGCGCGCUACACUGACGAUGGCAACGAGUUUUUCCUUCGCCGAAAGGUGUGGGUAAUCUUUUGAAACAUCGUCGUGCUGGGGAUAGAUCAUUGCAAUUUUUGAUCUUGAACGAGGAAUUCCUAGUAAGCGCGAGUCAUCAGCUCGCGUUGAUUACGUCCCUGCCCUUUGUACACACCGCCCGUCGCUACUACCGAUUGAAUGGUUUAGUGAGGACUCCUGAUUGGCGCCGCCGCCCCGGCAACGGAGCAGCGGACUGCCGAAACGUUGUUCAAACUUGAUCAUUUAGAGGAAGUAAAAGUCGUAACA